RNAcentral lists this ribosomal RNA (790 nucleotides) under uncultured bacterium. Its description in RNAcentral is "bacterial SSU rRNA". It matches the Rfam family "Bacterial small subunit ribosomal RNA", at positions 8 to 796 of the family's 1533-position model. The record is from RNAcentral.
AGAGUUUGAUCCUGGCUCAGAACGAACGCUGGCGGCGUGCCUAACACAUGCAAGUCGCGUGCGCAGUUUCCGUAGCAAUACGGGGAUCGGCGCACGGCGCACGGGUGCGUAACACGUGGGCAAUCUGCCCUCCGAUGGGGAAUACCCCCGCGAAAGCGGGACUAAUUCCGCAUAACAUUCCUUGGAUUAACUUUCGAGGAUUCAAAGCAGCAAUGCGUCGGAGGAGGAGCCCGCGCCCGAUUAGCUAGUUGGUGAGGUAACGGCUCACCAAGGCAAUGAUCGGUAGCUGGUCUGAGAGGAUGGCCAGCCACACUGGAACUGAGACACGGUCCAGACUCCUACGGGAGGCAGCAGUGGGGAAUCUUGCACAAUGGGCGAAAGCCUGAUGCAGCGACGCCGCGUGGGGGAUGAAGCUUUUCGGAGUGUAAACCCCUUUCGACUGGGACGAAUGCCCGCAAGGGAGUGACGGUACCAGUAUAAGAAGCCCCGGCUAACUACGUGCCAGCAGCCGCGGUAAGACGUAGGGGGCCAGCGUUGUUCGGAAUUACUGGGUGUAAAGGGUUCGUAGGCGGUGUGGCAAGUCGGGAGUGAAAUCUCUGGGCUCAACCCAGAGACUGCUUCCGAAACUGCUGUGCUUGAGUGUGAGAGAGGCUCGUGGAAUUGCAGGUGUAGCGGUGAAAUGCGUAGAUAUCUGCAGGAACACCCGUGGCGAAAGCGGCGAGCUGGAUCACUACUGACGCUGAGGAACGAAAGCUAGGGGAGCAAACAGGAUUAGAUACCCUGGUAGUCC